UACAAGGAUUCCCUCAGUAACCGGCGAGUGAAGCGGGAAGAGCUCAAAUUUAAAAUCUGGUUUGCUUGCAAGCCCGAGUUGUAGUCUGAAGAAACGUUUUCCAUAAGCACUGAGACAAAAGUCCCUUGGAACAGGGCAUCAUAGAGGGUGAGAAUCCCGUCCAUGGUCUCAAGUUGUUUAUUUUGUGAUACGUUUUCAAAGAGUCAGGUUGUUUGGGAAUGCAGCCUAAAAUGGGUGGUAAAUUUCAUCUAAAGCUAAAUAUUGGCGAGAGACCGAUAGCGAACAAGUACCGUGAGGGAAAGAUGAAAAGAACUUUGAAAAGAGAGUUAAACAGUACGUGAAAUUGUUGAAAGGGAACCGUUUGAAGCCAGUCUUACUUGCCUGUGAUCAAUUUUUGCUUCGGCAUGAAUGCACUCUCGGGUAUGGUAGGCCAACGACAGUUUGGAAUGCGAGAAAAAAAUAGAGGAAAUGUGGCCUUCGGGUGUUAUAGUCCUUUAUAAAAUAUCGUGUUCUGGACUGAGGAUCGCAGCAAAAACGUGGGCAGGUGGAUUUCUGUGGUAACUGUCGGUUAGGACAACUUGUUGACCUAGUCUUCCUUAGCCUCACUAUUUACCUUGCUUCUAAUUUGCUUAGGUCGUUGGCAUAAUGGCUUUAAAUGACCCCGUCUUG
RNAcentral lists this ribosomal RNA (669 nucleotides) under Umbelopsis gibberispora. RNAcentral's name for it is "eukaryotic LSU rRNA". It matches the Rfam family "Eukaryotic large subunit ribosomal RNA", at positions 67 to 656 of the family's 3401-position model. Lineage: Eukaryota; Fungi; Mucoromycota; Umbelopsidomycetes; Umbelopsidales; Umbelopsidaceae. The record is from RNAcentral.